Molecule: long non-coding RNA, 1360 nt
Filed under: Elaeis guineensis (African oil palm)
Lineage: Eukaryota; Viridiplantae; Streptophyta; Magnoliopsida; Arecales; Arecaceae
Description: long non-coding RNA (EGUI_LNC001319)
Source: RNAcentral
UUGUAGGACUAAUAGCUCCUGUCUUCCGUGUAUAUCAUCAGGAGCUAUUAGUCCUACAAGAUUAUUAAAAAAAAAAUAAAUAAAGGAAGAAUACAUAGAGAAGAAUAAUACACCUAGAUGAUUCAACACCUAAUUCAUGGGUACCAGCCUUAAUAGUAUAUCUUGAAAUCUUUUGCUGUUGUUCGAGGAAAAAAACAAGAGAAAUAGAGAAAUAGGGAACAAAUCACCCAAUAAAUCAUAAAGAUUGAGGAGAGAACAAAAGAGAACAAAAAGAGUUGGAGGAAGAGAAGCGAGGAAUUCCUUACUAUUCUUGAAGGGUUGGGAUCUUCGACGAUGUGAGUUUCAAGUGCCAUCACUGCCGAAAGAAUAAGAGGAGGAGGAGGUGGGACAAGGAAAUAUGAAUUCCAUAAUGUUCUUGGAGGGUUUGGAUCUUUGAGGAUGUGGGUUCCAAGGGCCAUAGCUGCCUUGCCCUAGGUGUGAGAAUCUCGAUGCUUUAGGGGGUUUGAUGGGAGGGAAGAGGUCAGGAUUUAUCUCACCUUAGAAGAGAUCAUCGUUUCUUGCUUCUCGACGAUAGGAAUUGAGCUGAGCUCUUAUUCAAACAGCUUCUGAUAGUGAAACGGUUGCAGAACUAAAAUAUCCUCUCGAUUAUCCCAAAUUUAUGCAAUCACUCUUGAACCUCAAGCAUGAUAUUGUCGUCGAUUCGAUCGGUUUCAGUUCGGAUUGAAUCGAAGAUACACUCGGUUUGGUCAUGGUUUAUUUUGGGAGCAUCAUUAUGCAGCUACCAACCUGAUACCUUUGUUUGUUCUGGCAUCACAUGUGCAGUGGCUAUGGUCUCGGCAUUAUACAUGCAAGUUAGCUCUGUUUCUUUGUCUUUCCUCUGAACUCAUUAGGAGUAAAGAAAGAUGUGCACAUGCCAUACUAUAUACACCAUAUUUGGUUGCCUCUAUUCUGGAGGACCAAAGGAGAUGUAAGAGGAAUAGCUCACUAUAGAAAACCAUCAAAUAGGGAACGAAAUAACAAGUUGAGUGGUUAGGAAUCUCAGCAAUCGUUUCUAUCUUCGUUUUCACGUAAUUAUAGGAAUCAAUGCAAAAGGAAAAAAAUCUAACCCUUGUAAGAGAAAUGGAAAUAUCUAGAAUGUUUUAGAGAAUUUUGAAGCUCGCUUGUUGUUAGUUUGAGAAAUUUUAUAUCAAAACCACAGAAUAUUGACAUGAAAUCUCCAAAUAAGGGCUUGGUGAAGAGUGGGAGUAAAGAUCAGACUUAAAAGAUUGGGCCUUUAUAAUAGAGGAAAAAAGAUUAAAUCUGUUUUUGAAUAUAAAGUCAUAUCUUUCUCGCAAGAGGCUAAGAGAAUGAGCGGGGGCAA